Molecule: ribosomal RNA, 467 nt
Filed under: uncultured bacterium
Lineage: Bacteria
Description: partial 16S ribosomal RNA
Rfam family: Bacterial small subunit ribosomal RNA
Source: RNAcentral
GAUGAACGCUGCCAGAAUGCUUAACACAUGCAAGUCAACUUGAAUUUGGGUUUUUAACUUAGGUUUGGGUGGCGGACGGGUGAGUAACACGUAAAGAACUUGCCUCACAGCUAGGGACAACAUUUGGAAACGAAUGCUAAUACCUAAUAUUAUGAUAAUAGGGCAUCCUAUAAUUAUGAAAGCUAUAAGCGCUGUGAGAGAGCUUUGCGUCCCAUUAGCUAGUUGGAGAGGUAACGGCUCACCAAGGCGAUGAUGGGUAGCCGGCCUGAGAGGGUGAUCGGCCACAAGGGGACUGAGACACGGCCCUUACUCCUACGGGAGGCAGCAGUGGGGAAUAUUGGACAAUGGACCGAGAGUCUGAUCCAGCAAUUCUGUGUGCACGAUGAAGUUUUUCGGAAUGUAAAGUGCUUUCAGUUGGGAAGAAACAAAUGACGGUACCAACAGAAGAAGUGACGGCUAAAUACGUG